Molecule: ribosomal RNA, 394 nt
Filed under: Ectopseudomonas oleovorans
Lineage: Bacteria; Pseudomonadati; Pseudomonadota; Gammaproteobacteria; Pseudomonadales; Pseudomonadaceae
Description: bacterial SSU rRNA
Rfam family: Bacterial small subunit ribosomal RNA
Source: RNAcentral
AGCCUGAUCCAGCCAUGCCGCGUGUGUGAAGAAGGUCUUCGGAUUGUAAAGCACUUUAAGUUGGGAGGAAGGGCAGUAAGUUAAUACCUUGCUGUUUUGAAGUUACCGACAGAAUAAGCACCGGCUAACUUCGUGCCAGCAGCCGCGGUAAUACGAAGGGUGCAAGCGUUAAUCGGAAUUACUGGGCGUAAAGCGCGCGUAGGUGGUUCGUUAAGUUGGAUGUGAAAGCCCCGGGCUCAACCUGGGAACUGCAUCCAAAACUGGCGAGCUAGAGUACGGUAGAGGGURGUGGAAUUUCCUGUGUAGCGGUGAAAUGCGUAGAUWUAKGAGGGAACACCAGUGGCGAAGGCGACCACCUGGACUGAUACUGACACUGAGGUGCGAAAGCGUGGGG